Non-coding RNA from Petromyzon marinus (sea lamprey), 4839 nucleotides. The record is from RefSeq and is a predicted model, not a curated record. NCBI's taxonomy places the organism in Eukaryota, Metazoa, Chordata, Hyperoartia, Petromyzontiformes, Petromyzontidae.
CGAUUAUGAACGCCUUGACGUAGACGUCAUCGAGAAUCGAUUUCUCUGUCAACGAUUCUGUUAGGAUCGAUCCCCCUUCCAACCAGGCCCCGGCAAGAAGACUGCCCCGUCCGCUCUGCUGUGACCUCAGCUGCCUGCCGCAAAAGAGAACUGUGGAAGAAUGGACAAGGUUUUCGAUGCCUCCUGGGGUCUGUCCAACGCUGAGCUCCUCCAGCAGAUGGGGUUGCUGAGCUGGUUGUCCGGCAAGGAGACCACAAGUGACGCAUACCAAGCAAUCACAGCCGGCAGGGUCGCGUACGAGCUGUACAACCGCGUGACGGGCAAGGCUGAGAUCGACAAAUACAAGGCUGAGUGCCUGCAGGGCAUCGUGAAUUUCAUCCGGGACAACCCAGGAGCCACGAAAACUGCCAUCGACCAGGCCGUUCUGCUCCACGUUCAGAUAUUUGCUGCUCGGGUGGAUGCGAUGUAGGACUGAAGUGUGACUAGGUAAACACCUGUUUGGUGGACAUCUUUAGAAUGAACCCCUUGUUGGACACCUUGAAGAAUCAACAUUUUUUGUUAACUUUGCCAUGCAGCCUUUUUCAUAACAUUUUAAAUGUUUUAUCUAUGAGGCAUCUAAAUACACUCGUAUUUCUAUGCAUCAUAUUGGAGUGGGCAACAACACCGUGGACUGGAGUGCAACAAGUGUGGGGGAGCCAACACGUGCACAUGGGUUCUUAAGUUACGCAAAGUCACAAGCAUAUUACAAUAAAUAAAUUGGAGUUUUAUGCCAUGCAAUGGAUCGCAUCGCGCGGAUUAUCACAUUUCAACAAUGAACACGUAUGUAUUGCCAUUGAUAAGACAAUAGGUUUUUCCCCUUUUUUCUGGCAACAAAACAGGUGUUAAGAUGUUAAAACACCAAACUGAAACCUUUUACAAGGAAUCAUGUCUGCAUUAACCACAAUGCUUGUGGUCAGAAUGCAAACAAAACAUACUCUAAUAAUAUGAUAUUGCCAUUGAAUUGUGACUUCAUAUGUACGUCAAUAAUACAAACAACAUUUAAGAAUUUGCUUUGAAAUGUAUCCACAAUGCUGGGUUAGCUUCCUUUUCCUUUGUUAUUUGGCAGCGAUUCGGCAUCAAGACGUUGGGUCUCAGUGGGCCGUCGCCUGGUGGAUGCAGCAGCGCCACCCAAGGUGGGCGGCAGCCUACUCCGUCGAAUCUCGAAGCCUGAUGUUUCUGUACUUCAGGGAGGACUUGAGGGUGUCCUUGAACUGCUUCCUUUGUCCUCCCCUCGUCCGCUGCCCAUUAGAGAGCUGGGAGAAAAGGAUCUGGUGGGGAAGGCAGUUCUCAGGUACGCGGAAGCAGUGGCCAGUCCAUCAGAGUUGUUUUUUUAGAAGUAUUGCUUCAAUGCUGGUGGUGUCAGCAUGGAGGACACUUGCACUUGAUCCCCUGGAUUUGAUGGAGGCAGUGCUGUUGGAAGCGCUCAAGCGCAAUGACAUGGCACCAAUACAUAGACAACCUACCGGCAAGACUUAAAAUCCUAGCAUACCAUCUUUAAAACUAUCACAUCUACACAAACACCGAGUACACACAACAUGUAGCUUCAGAUAAUUUAUUUCGGUGCAAGAAAAACAGCCACAUGGUAGACUAUGUUGGCACAAACAAAACUUUCCGUUAACGCUUAUCAGAAUAUUUAUUUAUACAGCAGGAAUCCGAUGAGCUGUAAACCUCUUUUUCACAGAUGUCCAGUCGGGGCAGGUGAGAAUAAUACAACACGUAACACAAAAACUUGACAGUGAAAAGUAUAGCAAAUAUAUACAAAUAAUACUAAACUAUUUUUUGUCCUACCAGGUAAAGCCUACUGAGCUAUGAGCCUCUCAUUCAGAAGCAACCUGGCAACAAAUGAUAGCUUAAUAAACUGGUUUAUCUUAUAGAAAUUUAUUACAGCAAAAUAAUCUAAAUAAUCUAAACAAAUGUUUGUAAAAGUUAUCCCAUCAUAUCAGAUGUUUAUUAAUGUCCUUCCUUCUGAGAAACCUAGACCAUUAUCGCUCACUAGGUGGGUUAGGAUUGAAAACUAACUACAGGCAGUCCCCGGAUUAUAGGGAUGAAACUACAGUAAUUAAAGAAAACAGUACGGGAGGCACAACUAUUUCCGGCUAUGGGAUUUUAUCUAGAUUUGGGGGAAAUUGUUGAGUUUCCGACAUACGGAAAAUUCAGGUUGCGGAUCUUCCUCGGGAACCUAACGCUUCCGUAACCCGGGGAUUGCCUGUAAGGAGGGAGCAUCUGAUAUCAGUCUAAAUCUCUAAGUCUCCAAUGUGUCUGCUAAGGUGCGCGUGUGUGUAUGCAGUGUGUCUCCGGCUCGUCUUCUUUCUUCCUUGAGUGUCCUUCUUUGUGUAGUCCGAGCACUUGGGAGCUCUCUUUGUGUCCUUGAUGCCACCCAGUUUGAAGACUGAGAGUCCUCGAUGUCCACUGGGAUGGCAUUCUACUCUGGUGACCUACACAUAGCACACAUCAUCACCACCACAAUUAUUCCACUGGCCAACAGGACACCACAGAAAACUGCCUGUCAUUGAAACUACCUAGAGAAAUGAAUUGCACCGAAAAUGGCUGAUAACUCACGUGGUAACCACCUUCAAAAUAUAAUUGUGGGCCGAGUAAGAGUGCGUACAACACUGUCAGACAACACUGUUUGACUUAGGGUAAAUUCUCCAGUUUGAGGUUUUAUGGUUUGUGAAAAUACAUCAUGAGUACAACUUACCGCAUAUAGAAGAGGAUGUAGGCCUGGUCUUGAAGCACUUCUGACUUGGCGACUGGCUCCACGUCAGCAUCGUCCAUUCUGAACCAGCUGCCAUUGCUGACCUGAAGGAAAAAAUACAUGUACACUUAAUUACGAUCAUUACCCAAUUGCACCUGACUCAUUUAAAAGCCAGCCAUAGUGACAGAUCAUGAAAGUGGAAUAUUAUAUGGAAGUUAACACGUGUACUCAUAUGCUUCGUGUGUGUGUGUAUGUAUUAUCAUAGUGGGAAACAGUAGCGUAGCGGUUAGCACAUUGCACUACGAACCCGGCAACCAGAGGUCAAUUCCCGCUUACGACGUAACACCAGUGACGAUUAUCUCAACUGGUCGUGGGCCUCGUUCCCUCGGUCCACUCAGCCUCAAAUAAACACAUGGUGCAAUAUGUAAAAAUUACCACUCAGGGGACAAAGGCGGCCGGGUGUAGUGCUGGCCACCCACCCCCGCGUGUGUCAUUCUGGCUUUGACAGGUGCUCAUGAACAGCACUUGCCCCAACAGUCGGGUAAGGCUAUAUGGGGGAUAUUUGUUUUUUUGUUUAUCAUGCAGAACAUCACCUUGUUGUACGAGUAGUAGUGGCCGCUAUUGGUGGUGGUCCCGUGGUGCACAAUCACCGAGUAGAGUGAAUAAAGUUGCGACUCUUGCACAACCUGACUGGACAUGAACGGCCGUAUGUCGAGUUUUUCAGGGAAGAGGAACUCCUACAAGGGAUGAGGGAGGAGACAGUGAUGGGCCAAGCAUUAAAAGAGAGGAAAAUAGGGAGCUGGCUAAGCAGGGGCAGAAGAGGGGAGCAAAUUAACGUAUUGGCGGUACACUGGUGCACCGUAUAUAUAAAAAACUAAAAUCACAAUUUUCACGAUGAUAUAUUUUCCAGCGAUUCGCAACCCAUUUCAGGAAAUUUUGUGGGGCUGCGUCAAAAUAAUUUAUCGUGAUCUCAAAGCAGUCGGAAGAUGAGUGUCGGUUCACAUUUUGAUGUUCUACUGUUUUAUGAGGACCGGUGUGUCAUGCUGCACCGGUGUACCGCCAAUACGUCCAAAUGACAAAAAACGUUGAAUACAAAAUAUAUCUGAAUAUCAGUUUGCAUUCUGUGCAGGAAGUAAAAUUCACCCUGUCGAUUUUGUGCCCAAACUCAUCGUAUCGCUUAAUGGUGACGAUAAGCACAUUGGGCACCACGUGCAGGCUCACUCUCUUUGUUGAUUUCCCCACGCGUGAGCACCUGUUCGCCAGACAAUAGCAACGUUAGUUUACGGACGAGGUGCGUGUUUGAUCACACACUGUAUAAAUGGGGAUAUACACGAACGUUUAAAGGUGCACGACGGAAGAUUGCAUACUCACAUUCCACAUCUGUACUCUGCAAGAUUCUCGGUCUUUGUGAAUUCAUAAAAAGCCUUCACCAGAUCCAGGGAUUUCUGUCAAAAGCCAAGAAAGCACAAUCAUGGAAAAUUAUUACUUUGAAUAGAAAUUCAGAAAAUAAUGAGCUAAGUGGCUCUCUGCAGUCAACUGGUUGUGGUACAUAAAUAUAAUGAAUGACAAAAAAAAUCGACAUCAGGCUGCAGCCUUCCCAAUUCUUACGUUGAUAUUAAGAGAGAUGUCAAGGCAAGAGUCCAACGUGUCUGAGAUGCUGAAGCACUGCAUGCACUCAACUGUGAAAACACAUAAUAUGAAAACAUACAAUAUUACUGCUGCACAUUGCAUAAUCAUAAUCAAAAGUAUUCACACGUUAACUGCCUAAUAUCAUGAAAAUGUUCAAAUACCACCAACCCAGAUGCGACUAUAAUUGUUAUUUUAAAACAUAUUUGGUGAAAGCUGCAAUGGCUACUAAAUACAUUUAUUGUUGAUACUGUGUUGGCAGUGGUGCCCUAACAUUCGUCAAUAGUACUGCCUUACAAGGAAAAAUAUGCAAUUGGUGACAUUUUCAGGAGUGAUCUUUAUUCAUAGCACAGAAGCCAGAAACAUAGGGUGGGCUACGAGUUGGAUACUGCACUGUACACCACGUGGCCUGAUGAGAAAUUACAUUUGGCGUACAGAAAGCUUUGAUUAACUCUUGCGUAAUAAACAUGUGAAAUCUA